Molecule: ribosomal RNA, 553 nt
Filed under: uncultured bacterium
Lineage: Bacteria
Description: bacterial SSU rRNA
Rfam family: Bacterial small subunit ribosomal RNA
Source: RNAcentral
UGCUUCUUCUUGAGAGCGGCGGACGGGUGAGUAAUGCCUAGGAAUCUGCCUGGUAGUGGGGGAUAACGUCCGGAAACGGACGCUAAUACCGCAUACGUCCUACGGGAGAAAGCAGGGGACCUUCGGGCCUUGCGCUAUCAGAUGAACCUAGGUCGGAUUAGCUAGUUGGUGGGGUAAUGGCUCACCCAGGCGACGAUCCGUAACUGGUCUGAGAGGAUGAUCAGUCACACUGGAACUGAAACACGGUCCAGACUCCUACGGGAGGCAGCAGUGGGGAAUAUUGGACAAUGGGCGAAAGCCUGAUCCACCCAUGCCGCGUGUGUGAAGAAGGUCUUCGGAUUGUAUAGCACUUUAAGUUGGGAGGAAAGGCAGUAAAUUAAUACUUUGCUGUUUUGACAUUACCGACACAAUAAACACCGGCUAACUCUGUGCCCCAGCCGCGGUAAUACAGAGGGUGCAAGCGUUAAUCGGAAUUACUGGUCGUAAUAGCGCGCGUAGGUGGUUCGUUAAUUUGGAUGUGAAAUCCCCGCGCUCAACCCUGCGAACUGCUUUC